Molecule: ribosomal RNA, 615 nt
Filed under: Triticum aestivum (bread wheat)
Lineage: Eukaryota; Viridiplantae; Streptophyta; Magnoliopsida; Poales; Poaceae
Description: partial small subunit ribosomal RNA
Source: RNAcentral
AUGGCCUGCGGCGAUGAUUUCCACGCCAUCAAAUACCUCCCACUCAAGCUUAAAGGACCAGCUCGGCAUUGGCUUAACAGCUUGCCAACAGGAUCAAUCAGUUGUUGGGAGGACCUGGAAGCCGCAUUCCUUGACAAUUUCCAGGGCACUUAUGUGCGACCCCCAGACGCCGAUGACCUAAGUCACGUAAUUCAGCAGCCAGAUGAAUCGGCCAGGCAAUUCUGGACACGGUUCCUAAUAAGGAAAAAUCAAAUAGUCGACUGUCCGGACGCUGAGGCCCUAGCAGCCUUCAAGCACAAUAUCUAUGACGAGUGGCUGGCCCGGCACCUUGGACAGGAAAAGCCGAAAUCUAUGGCAGCACUCACGACACUCAUGACCCACUUUUGCGCGGGAGAAGACAGUUGGCUUGCUCGUAGCAACAAUAUAACCAAGAACCCUGGUAAUUCAGACACCAGGGACAGUAGUGGUAGGUCGCGUCGCAACAAACAGAAGCGCCGCAUUAACGGCAAUAAUGCAGAUGAUACGUCAGUUAAUGCCGGAUUCAGAGGCUCUAAAUCCGGUCAGCGGAAAAUGCCAUUCAAAAGGAAUCCUAGGGGCCCGUCCAGUUUGGACUGA